RNAcentral lists this unclassified non-coding RNA (829 nucleotides) under Bombus terrestris (buff-tailed bumblebee). RNAcentral describes it as "misc RNA ENSBTSG00005038235.1". The record is from RNAcentral. Lineage: Eukaryota; Metazoa; Arthropoda; Insecta; Hymenoptera; Apidae.
ACCGGGCUUAAAGCAAACCUUUGAAAAGUCUUUUAUCCAUUACCAAGCAAUCCAAAAUGCACAUGAUUUAAUAUACGAGUACUGUGUUGAAACCGUAAGCACGCGAGCUAGCCAAAUAUGUUUAAAAGCGCGAGUUACUUGAUGAGAUUCGUCUUCCGUGAGUUUUUGGCAAGAUGGCGAAGAAUCUCUCGAUGCGGGCUACACGUUACAUAUAUAGUCGACGAUUAUACGCGUCGUUUUAUUUGUUGCAUGUGUAGGCGACGAUGCGGAUGUGUAAUUAGGUGAGUGUGUACGUAUCUAUGCGUGUCUUUUUGUUUUCUUCUUUUUGUUUUCCAUUUGCAAUUCACAGUAUAAACUCGCUCUCCUCUCAGAGGCUGCUACCGUACUCGCUCGAUCUUCGUCGGUCGAUGUGCUUUAUGUACGUCUCCGAGUACAUGCUCUUAGUGCGGUCAUCGUACCUUAGGGACGGCCGACGGAAAUCGAGCGCCUCGAGGUCGGACGGCUCUCGUCUGCAGAGCGAACAGAACGCGCACUGCAGCGUAUUUUUGAAGGCUUCUCGGAAGUCCCGAUUGAAAUACGCGUAGAUCAGCGGGUUCAAUGCUGAGUUUGUGUACCCGAUCCAGAAAAGUAUUGCGAUAACGAUAUCGGGACAUGGGCAGGAUUCUCCGCACAGAGUCGUAAUAACGUACCUGUGAACAAAGAUUUCAGGAUUCAGCGAAGAUUUCGUUCGUAAUGAUUGAAUUAACACGUUCGGUGAACCUUGAACAAACUGGAAAAUUAAGACACUAGAAACAGAAAUAAUAUAUUAACCCUGCUGCGAGUCCCGAAU